This 480-nucleotide ribosomal RNA is filed under the name uncultured bacterium. RNAcentral describes it as "bacterial SSU rRNA". It matches the Rfam family "Bacterial small subunit ribosomal RNA", at positions 30 to 506 of the family's 1533-position model. The record is from RNAcentral.
UUGAACGCUGGCGGCAUGCCUUACACAUGCAAGUCGAACGGUAACGCGGGGCAACCUGGCGACGAGUGGCGAACGGGUGAGUAAUACAUCGGAACGUGCCCAUUAGUGGGGGAUAGCCCGGCGAAAGCUGGAUUAAUACCGCAUACGACCUACGGGUGAAAGCGGGGGAUCGCAAGACCUCGCGCUAUUGGAGCGGCCGAUGUCAGAUUAGCUAGUUGGUGGGGUAAAAGCCUACCAAGGCGACGAUCUGUAGCUGGUCUGAGAGGACGACCAGCCACACUGGGACUGAGACACGGCCCAGACUCCUACGGGAGGCAGCAGUGGGGAAUUUUGGACAAUGGGGGCAACCCUGAUCCAGCCAUGCCGCGUGCGGGAAGAAGGCCUUCGGGUUGUAAACCGCUUUUGUCAGGGAAGAAACGGUCUGCGCUAAUACUGCGGACUAAUGACGGUACCUGAAGAAUAAGCACCGGCUCACUACGU